UCUUCUGGUUUUCCCUCAUUCUCUUCUUUCUUCUUCUUCUCCAAGACCCAAACCCGUGGGUAUUGUGCAUCAGUACAUAAGUCAUAUUUUGGAAGCUCGGAUCAGAAAACUUCCUUGAUGAAAGUUGCUCAUCUGCUCGAGUACUAUAGCCUGUAAAAUUUUCUGAUUUCUUUGAAUUUUUCUGAUGCCUCAAAGCUGGUCUGCAACUUCUGUGUUCAUCCAUGGCUGGUGUAUACGUCUUUGGCACAGGCAGGGGAAGGUGUCGGAAGCCUGCGUUGUAUCCCUUGCCGUUGGAAGCUUCGAGUGUACCGACUUCGCAACUUGGCAAUUUGGAUUUCUAUCUUGAUUUCUCAAUAAAUAGUUCUGCUCCUUCACUAGAAUCGGACUCACAUAAUAAGUCCCAAUGACCUUUGUGAUGAGUGAUAGCCUAUUUCCUCUUGCACGACGGGUUGAAGAAUGGACAACUACCUUCAUAGCUUAGAAACACUUACCAAGACUCGAUCAUAGGCACUGAGUAAGCUUAGGAAGCUACUCUCAUUUCCAGGUGUUGUAUAGAAGAAAGACAUGUUUCAGGCGGCCACCUUAUUUUUUAAUACCCUUGCAGCAUCACUAAGGGCUGGCCACAGUGGUUCGAUCGCGAGUUGACAGCCCCGACUACCAAAGAUGUUUUGUCAAGGAAACAUCGUUUUUGACCUUACAGCAGCGUGCUGAAAGGGCUUAAGCGUGUGUCUUAUUAGGAUUUUGCAUGGACUUCCGGCUGAAUACUUAGAAGAAGCACACAUUAUUAUUAUUAUUAUUAUUUUUUAAGCACGAGCUGCUUGUAGCAUGAAGAUGUAUGCAUGAUCCCCUUAAGCAAGAGUUGUCGUUAAUGCGUUAAGCCUUCAGGAACAUGAAUUGGAGAGCCAGUGCCGUAAGCUAUGAGACCUUCUCCUUGACAAAUAAGCGAUUGAGAAUGGCGCUCGGUGCAUGGUGGAAACAUCGAAAGGAUCAUCUAAUAGUGCUUCUUCUAUUCUGUUUUAGUCAUGCACCGUGAUCUAGUUGAGAUAUCCGAUUCUCCUUCUUCGCACCGUAAUAUAUAUGUAUAUAUAUUCUUUUAAUAGAAAGGGCAUAUCUUCCAGCACCAUCUUUCUCUACCACUUAUUCUUAUUUCAUUUUGCAUGCUGCAUUUCUUUGUUGUAGGGGCUAGCUGGCUCAGUGUGUAGUAGCUUUUCCUUUUGAAACUGUAGGGUGUAUCGAUCUUUAGCAUAGUUGACUGCAUUUGGGCUCGAGUUGUACCCCUUUUGUUUGGAGAGCCUAAAGCUCAUGUUGUUGGAAACUUGGAACACAACAUUGUUGCAUACUUUAUAUCAUAACUCUUGAUGUAGAAUGCUUGAGAUAUUGAGCUUCGGCCUAUUUUGUACGCUUUGCUCGGUUGGAAACAAUGAAAUGCAUGAAUUGUUGCAAUUUGGAAUGCAUUGAGAUAAAGAUUUCCAGCUUGUUCUGUACACUCUGCCUGGCUGAAAUACAUGAGUUGCUUGAGAUUUCAUCAGGUCAGGUUGUGGUAGGUGCAAGGUACAUGCUGCCAAUAUUUCUUUUUUUCAGGUUGAGAGCAUCUCACAAGUCGCGGAGGAUACACUUCCUACUCCUCCUCUUGGGACGUCUGGCGUAGCUGCCUACACUGCCAUGCGCCUUCCAGCAGCGCAGCCUCCUGCUCAUCCUUUCCUAAACACAUCUGACACAACUGCUGGCACCUCUCCACAGCUUCCAGCAGUGCUGCCUCCUUUCCUAAGCACAUCCGACACAACUGUCGGCACCUCUCCACAGCUUCCAGCAGUGCUGCCUCCUUUCCUAAGCACAUCCGACAUAACUUCCGGCACCUCUCCACAGCUUCCAGCAGUGCUGCCUCGUGGUGAGAUUAUUGAUGACAGCCAUAAGGAGGAUGAUGUUUCCAUUUCCAUGGGGCAUUUAUCGGAGGAAAGCAUGUCUUGGCAAGAUUGGGAGAAUUCCUUCAUGGCGUUCAAAGCCUUUUUUAAUGGUGGUGCUAAGAUAUGUGAGGCCAUAACUCUGGGCUUUCAUGUGGACUUCCCCAUCAAUCUCGUGAGGAACCUAGCAUGUGCUGUCUUUGGAGUGCGGGCCAUUCAUAGCAUGAAAUUAUCACAUGGUUCUAGUGAGGUGAAAGCUGCUGCCGACACUUUGAACAUUAAGCAACAGGAAUUGGAUAGCCAGCGCAGGGAAGUGCAUGCCUUUUUCCUUGCUAAGUGCGUGACGGAGACAACAACCAGAUCAUCUCCUAGGGCUUCUUUCGUUCUUUUUGGGCAUUCUUCAUAGCUUCAAGGUCGUCUCCUCUUGGCUUGGUGACUGAUUAUCUUGGCGCGUGGUUCUGUUCCCUUGAAGACCAUAGGCUGCAUGGGUCUUUAGCAUGUGUAGUUUUAUCUUGCUUUGACUAUAGUUUUUUUUUUCGUUUUCUUUUGGACACUCUAACGACCCUGUCGUUAUGAAUUCGUAAUGUAGUGUUGAAUCACUGGAGCUUGUAUUAACUUCCGAAUGCUUGAGGCAUGUUGUAAUUUGCAUGUCUUAUAUAUAAAUAUUGCUUGGUUGGCAAAAUUUAUUUUUAUGA
RNA transcript from Prunus persica (peach), 2596 nucleotides. RefSeq lists it as uncharacterized. The record is from RefSeq and is a predicted model, not a curated record. Lineage: Eukaryota; Viridiplantae; Streptophyta; Magnoliopsida; Rosales; Rosaceae. The transcript is spliced from 4 exons.